AGGAAUGGAGUAAAUGCUGUGUAAAAGUGUAGGCUCAUAAGGUGGACAAGAGGAAAAAAGAAUUGGUAUUUAACUUAGGAUCUGAAGAGCAAAGAAUAUUUUAGGCUGAAGAAAUAAUAGCAAAAGAUGGGUAAAGAAGAAUACAAGUAGAUUUUGGGAUGUGUCUGCAAAUGCAAGUGUGGAAUACAUAGAAGAACACUAAAUAGGAAUCAACAGAAAGGAAGAGUAAAUUUUUAGGGUUGGACAACCUCUGUAGGCAUGCUGGACCACUCCUCAUGAUAGAAGUACCUGAAGCUGUUUCCAGGAUCAGCAGGUCUCUGCAGCUUUUCCUGAAGAUACAAGGUUGCUGAAUGGCCCAGAGUCUCCCUCUGUCACCCAGGCUGGAGUGCAGUGUUGCAAUCUCGGCUGCCCAGGCUGGAAGAUGAGGCUGAAAUUUCUAUGUAUUCCAGUGUUACACAUAUCAAUUUUUAUCCAGCUGUGUUGAGUGUUCUUUGCCUUCAGGAGUGGUUUACAGAGAGUAUUGCCAGUUGACAAGAAUAUGUAUUUUCCGAGGUAUUUAAGUUGGAGAUGAGCAAAGAACUCCAGUGUUCCCGAUAAAUAUGCCAAACUGCAGUGCUCUUUGUUGUGAUCAGCAUUUUUAAAGACACUGAGAAAAAGCAGCCAUCUAUGAUCCAGAAAAAUGGGAACUUACCAGACAUUGAAUCUGCCAGCACAUUGACCUUGGAUGUCCCAGUCUCCAGAACUAUGAUUAAUGUUGUUAUGGAAGCUGGAGGCUGAGAAGUCCCAUUAUCUGCCACCAGUACGAGCCAGAAUCCCAGGAAAACUCAUGGUAUAAUUUCAACCUGAAUCCAGAGGCCUGAGAACGAGGAGAGCCACUGAUAUAAAGAAUCCUAUACUGACAAAGAAGACUUCUUUAACACUGACAAAGAAGAUUCACCAGAAUUUAGGGCUCAAUGUUUCCAGCUUCAUCAAGGUCUUCCAACACAUCUCUGUGGCAAUUAUAGGAUAGCAUUUUUUUUUGCUCAAUAAGUACUCUCAUGUUAAAAUACACAUCUUGUGAGUCUG
This 1065-nucleotide long non-coding RNA is filed under the name Homo sapiens (human). RNAcentral's name for it is "long intergenic non-protein coding RNA 2796". The record is from RNAcentral. Lineage: Eukaryota; Metazoa; Chordata; Mammalia; Primates; Hominidae.